This 251-nucleotide ribosomal RNA is filed under the name uncultured bacterium. RNAcentral's name for it is "partial 16S ribosomal RNA". It matches the Rfam family "Bacterial small subunit ribosomal RNA", at positions 524 to 776 of the family's 1533-position model. The record is from RNAcentral.
UACGAAGGGGGCUAGCGUUGUUCGGAAUUACUGGGCGUAAAGCGCGCGCAGGCGGCUAUCCAAGUCAGUGGUGAAAGCCCGGAGCUCAACUCCGGAACUGCCAUUGAAACUGUUUAGCUUGAGGAUGAGAGAGGUGAGUGGAAUUCCCAGUGUAGAGGUGAAAUUCGUAGAUAUUGGAAGAGCACCGGUGGCGAAGGCGGCUCACUGGCUCAUUACUGACGCUCAGGCGCGAUAGCGUGGGAUCAAACAGG